RNAcentral lists this transfer RNA (81 nucleotides) under Heterobasidion irregulare TC 32-1. It matches the Rfam family "tRNA". From Rfam's summary of the family: Transfer RNA (tRNA) molecules are approximately 80 nucleotides in length. Their secondary structure includes four short double-helical elements and three loops (D, anti-codon, and T loops). Lineage: Eukaryota; Fungi; Basidiomycota; Agaricomycetes; Russulales; Bondarzewiaceae. The record is from Rfam by way of RNAcentral.
GCCGUUGUGGCGCAAUGGUAGCGCAUCACCUUCCUAUGGGCAGUGAGGUGGGGGUUGCGGGUUCGAUACCCGUCAGCGGUA